RNAcentral lists this ribosomal RNA (508 nucleotides) under uncultured glomeraceous AM fungus. RNAcentral's name for it is "SSU rRNA". It matches the Rfam family "Eukaryotic small subunit ribosomal RNA", at positions 569 to 1078 of the family's 1831-position model. The record is from RNAcentral. Lineage: Eukaryota; Fungi; Glomeromycota; Glomeromycetes; Glomerales; Glomeraceae.
AGCAGCCGCGGUAAUUCCAGCUCCAAUAGCGUAUAUUAAAGUUGUUGCAGUUAAAAAGCUCGUAGUUGGAUUUCGGGGUUAGUAGGUUGGUCAUGCCUCUGGUAUGUACUGGUCUCACUGAUUCCUCCUUCCUGAUGAACCUUAAUGCCAUUAAUUUGGUGUUGCGGGGAAUUUGGACUGUUACUUUGAAAAAAUUAGAGUGUUUAAAGCAAGCUAACGCUUGAAUACAUUAGCAUGGAAUAAUGAAAUAGGACGUUCGAUCCUAUUUUGUUGGUUUCUAGGAUUGACGUAAUGAUUAAUAGGGAUAGUUGGGGGCAUUAGUAUUCAAUUGUCAGAGGUGAAAUUCUUGGAUUUAUUGAAGACUAACUACUGCGAAAGCAUUUGCCAAGGAUGUUUUCAUUAAUCAAGAACGAAAGUUAGGGGAUCGAAGACGAUCAGAUACCGUCGUAGUCUUAACCAUAAACUAUGCCGACUAGGGAUCGGAUGAUGUUAAUUUUUUAAUGACUCA